RNAcentral lists this transfer RNA (59 nucleotides) under Taenia sp. MZH:127052. Its description in RNAcentral is "tRNA-Ser (AGN)". Lineage: Eukaryota; Metazoa; Platyhelminthes; Cestoda; Cyclophyllidea; Taeniidae. The record is from RNAcentral.
AGAGAAAACUGUGAAGUUACUGCUAAUAAUUUCGUGUCAAUUUAGUUUGACUUUCUCUU